UGGCUCAGAUUGAACGCUGGCGGCAUGCCUUACACAUGCAAGUCGAACGGCAGCGCGGGGCAACCUGGCGGCGAGUGGCGAACGGGUGAGUAAUAUAUCGGAACGUACCCUGGAGUGGGGGAUAACGUAGCGAAAGUUACGCUAAUACCGCAUACGAUCUAAGGAUGAAAGUGGGGGAUCGCAAGACCUCAUGCUCCUGGAGCGGCCGAUAUCUGAUUAGCUAGUUGGUAGGGUAAAAGCCUACCAAGGCAUCGAUCAGUAGCUGGUCUGAGAGGACGACCAGCCACACUGGAACUGAGACACGGUCCAGACUCCUACGGGAGGCAGCAGUGGGGAAUUUUGGACAAUGGGCGCAAGCCUGAUCCAGCAAUGCCGCGUGAGUGAAGAAGGCCUUCGGGUUGUAAAGCUCUUUUGUCAGGGAAGAAACGGGUYUUUCUAAUACAGAGAUCUAAUGACGGUACCUGAAGAAUAAGCACCGGCUAACUACGUGCCAGCAGCCGCGGUAAUACGUAGGGUGCAAGCGUUAAUCGGAAUUACUGGGCGUAAAGCGUGCGCAGGCGGUUUUGUAAGACUGUCGUGAAAUCCCCGGGCUCAACCUGGGAAUGGCGAUGGUGACUGCAAGGCUAGAGUUUGGCAGAGGGGGGUAGAAUUCCACGUGUAGCAGUGAAAUGCGUAGAUAUGUGGAGGAACACCGAUGGCGAAGGCAGCCCCCUGGGUCAAAACUGACG
This 728-nucleotide ribosomal RNA is filed under the name uncultured Duganella sp. RNAcentral's name for it is "bacterial SSU rRNA". It matches the Rfam family "Bacterial small subunit ribosomal RNA", at positions 20 to 745 of the family's 1533-position model. Lineage: Bacteria; Pseudomonadati; Pseudomonadota; Betaproteobacteria; Burkholderiales; Oxalobacteraceae. The record is from RNAcentral.